This 532-nucleotide long non-coding RNA is filed under the name Portunus trituberculatus (swimming crab). RNAcentral describes it as "uncharacterized LOC123514510, transcript variant X2". Lineage: Eukaryota; Metazoa; Arthropoda; Malacostraca; Decapoda; Portunidae. The record is from RNAcentral.
CCAACAGUUUUCAAGCAGCGGGAAUCACCAAGGAAGACAAGCAGUCCAAGGCUUCACCACAAGCUCCCACACUGCCUUAUCUUCAUCAAUUAAAGGCUCAGACGUGUAGAUGGAAGCAAUUGAAGGAAGAAGAAAGAGAAAUAAAGGAGGAAGACCAAGAAGAAACGAGAAAUAGAGGCGGAAUAGAAGAAGGUGCCAAGGUGUAAUAUUUAGACCUACAGACGACCACCGCACGGAAGAGCAACGACUUACGUGCCUCAGACAGUCAGUUCUCCUAGGGCGGUGUCAGUGGCAUCCCGAAGCAGCGCAUGUGUGACGGCUUCAGUGACUGCAGUAACGGAGAGGAUGAGUUUGUGCAGCUGUGUGGCAUUGACGAGUGCCAGGAGAAGAAUGUCGGGUGUGUGUGAGCACCUGUGCAUCAACACUCGAGAGUCAUACUGCUACUACUGCCAGUGCCGGACAUGCAGAAUACAGACUCGUCAGGAAGUUCAACUGUGAAGGUGAGUCCUGCCUAUACUGACACUGUCACCCU